This is a long non-coding RNA of Suricata suricatta (meerkat), 1396 nucleotides long. RefSeq lists it as uncharacterized. Lineage: Eukaryota; Metazoa; Chordata; Mammalia; Carnivora; Herpestidae. The transcript is spliced from 3 exons. The record is from RefSeq and is a predicted model, not a curated record.
GAGGGCUCUCUGAGCUGAAGCGGUUGCCCGGUGCUUCUGAGAAAUGGCAAGGGGUACGUUUAUCAGAAGGUGCCCCUGGCUACUAGGAAUGUCCUGGACAGAAAGUUUCAGUAAGGAAUGUGGGCCCUGGUGGGAAAACCAAGAGGAGAGCAUGGGGCCUGUCAGAGACACCAGUAUGAUUUUAAAGUGAAGGACAGAAUGUAAAACUCUGACACCUCUGUGAUCUCGGCAAAUGCAUAGAACCUUCUUUCCUCAAGCGACUCAGUGAAGUGACCACAGAUGCUAGCUAGUGACUGGUCUGUAAAAAAUAUAUUUGUCUCUGUUGUUGUGAUUUGAUUUUGGAAGCAAAUACGUAAAGGAUACAUUGCUCGCCUCGAAUCCCCACUCCCCACCCCUGCCCGACCCUCUUUACUUCUAGGUACUUAAGAAGUGUGUUAAGAGGGAGGAAUCCAGCCCUUGUAUGGGCUGGGGUAUCCUGACUUGAUGCCAACGGUUCUACACACCUUGGAGAGACCCAGAUAAAAAGUGGAGGGUAUUUUCUUUCUCACUGAGAUGCUGACCACAUCUCUAUUAAGGCUACCAGGAUGUUUAUUGUACUUUUCAUUCGAAUCACGCUGCAAAAGACACCAUCAGCUUCUUCUUUAUCAGCUUGCUGAUAUCAGAGAAGGCACCUACAAGCAAAAGGAAUUUGGAACAAAUGGAAUGGAGGUGCUAUAAGCCAAAAUACAUCAUUUCUAACAUUUAAAAAAGUCCUGUUUCAUUUUAUUUUUAAUACUCAGAAUUAUAUGUCAUACAAUUGAUGUUCAACAUUCCUUUUCUUCCUUCUCUCCCCUUCGGUUCAUUUUAACAAUGCGGGAUACAGAGAGAGAUUUUACAUCCAUUAUGUGAGCAUGGAUUUAUUCUUCCUGGUUACUUCCUUCCGAGUCCAGAAUGUUCAUCUGAAGAAAAGUGGCAUUGAUGUCCCUACCCAACCCCAUCUGGAGCAGGAUGAGGAGUGUUUGGGUCCUGUUCUUUCACGUGAUGAGCCUCUGGCAGACAAACCUGUUUUCCGGGUCCUUUGGCCUGGGAGCCGCUAUGGCUCUUCUUUAAUUAUGGUUAUAACCCCGGUCCCGCCUUCCUUCUAACGACAAAGUUGCUGUUUGCCUUGUUCCCCUCGCACGAACACGGACACCUCACCGCUGGCGUUAUUCAAGACUCUGGAUAUUAAAAAUUCUUAAUGCAGCAUAAAGCAAUAUUUAAAUAGUAUUUCUUAGUGCAGUAUAACAUUACUUAGCCCUUGUAUACAGCAAGUGCUACAUAAGUUGUUGCUUUAAUAACAGUGUUGUUCUUUAAUAUACCUUUCUCUAAAGCUCAGGUCCAAACAACGAUUUGGCUUAAUUAAAAAAAAAAAUUUUUU